UAGGGAAUCUUCCGCAAUGGACGAAAGUCUGACGGAGCAACGCCGCGUGAGUGAAGAAGGAUUUCGGUUCGUAAAACUCUGUUGUUAGGGUAGAAAAAAUGUAUAGUAACUAUAUACAAAAGAGACGGUACCUAACCAGAAAGCCACGGCUAACUACGUGCCAGCAGCCGCGGUAAUACGUAGGUGGCAAGCGUUGUCCGGAAUUAUUGGGCGUAAAGCGCGCGCAGGUGGUUUAGAAAGUCUGAUGUGAAAGCCCACGGCUCAACCGUGGAGGGUCAUUGGAAACUGAUAAACUUGAGUGCAGGAGAGAAAAGUGGAAUUCCUAGUGUAGCGUUGAAAUGCGUAGAGAUUAGGAGGAACACCGGUGGCGAGAGCGGCUUUUUGGCCUGCAACUGACACUGAGGCGCGAAAGCGGGGGGAGCAAACAGG
This 429-nucleotide ribosomal RNA is filed under the name Verrucomicrobiota bacterium. RNAcentral's name for it is "Verrucomicrobia bacterium partial 16S ribosomal RNA". It matches the Rfam family "Bacterial small subunit ribosomal RNA", at positions 355 to 776 of the family's 1533-position model. The record is from RNAcentral. Lineage: Bacteria; Pseudomonadati; Verrucomicrobiota.